ACCUUGGGAGCCCUGUUAGACUCU
RNAcentral lists this non-coding RNA (24 nucleotides) under Callithrix jacchus (white-tufted-ear marmoset). Its record names the gene cja-miR-887-5p. The record is from miRBase by way of RNAcentral. Lineage: Eukaryota; Metazoa; Chordata; Mammalia; Primates; Cebidae.